UGGAUUAUGUUGUUUAAUUUCGACGCAACGCGAAGAACCUUACCAGGCCUUGACAUACUCGGCAAAGCUCUAGAGAUAGAGUGGAGGUUAUCCGGGAUACAGGUGGUGCAUGGUUGUCGUCAGCUCGUGUCGUGAGAUGUUGGGUUAAGUCCCGCAACGAGCGCAACCCUUGUCUUUAGUUACCAUCAUUCAGUUGGGGACUCUAGAGAGACUGCCGGUGAUAAACCGGAGGAAGUGGGGAUGACGUCAAAUCAUCAUGCCCCUUAUGGCCUGGGCUACAAACGUAAUACAAUGGCGUAUACAAAGGGAUGCGAAAGGGUGACCUGGAGCAAAACUCACAAAGUACGUCUCAGUUCAGAUUGGAGUCUGCAACUCGACUCCAUGAAGGCGGAAUCGCUAGUAAUCGCGGAUCAGCAUGCCGCGGUGAAUACGUUCUCGGGGUUU
RNAcentral lists this ribosomal RNA (444 nucleotides) under uncultured Erysipelothrix sp. RNAcentral describes it as "bacterial SSU rRNA". It matches the Rfam family "Bacterial small subunit ribosomal RNA", at positions 933 to 1382 of the family's 1533-position model. Lineage: Bacteria; Bacillati; Bacillota; Erysipelotrichia; Erysipelotrichales; Erysipelotrichaceae. The record is from RNAcentral.